CAAUGAUUCUGUGCACUAUUCUGUACUGGAACCAAUGAAGUUUAGAGCUUUUUGUGGUGUAGAAAGACAUAUUAUGCACUUUUUUCCAAUCAAAAAUUUUUAUUUAAUCUUAGAGACCAUUUAUCUUCACAACUAGGCCUUGUACUACUUUUUUCUAAGAAAACAUUAUACAUAUCUUUUGACCCUUUAUUUGACAAAAAAAAUGUUCUAAUAUUAUUUGGUAGAAUUGGUCCAUGAACUUUAUUAAGAUUUUCUAUAGAGAUAUUAUGUUUAAGAGAAUUUUGAUAUGAUUUUAUUGCUGAUAUAACUCCAUUAUAAACUAGAAAGUUAGAUUUAAUUUCAUAAAUAUUUUUGCAUUGCUCAAACGACAUUAAUUUACCCUCAUUAUCUACCAGAUCAUUAAUCAAUAAAAUACCGUUAUCAGCCCAGUCUUUAUAGAACACACUUCUGCUACCUAUUUUAAUAUUUCCAUUAUUCCAAAGUGAAUCUGUUAAAAAUUCUUCUUCAUUUUUUGGUUUAAGUUUAUUUAGCAUUUCUGUCCAUGCUUCAAAAAUCUCUUUCCAAAAGGGGUUUUUACAUUUGUUUGGUGGGCCUAGAAAUACUAGUUUUUCAAUAUCAAUAUUUU
This 625-nucleotide long non-coding RNA is filed under the name Mytilus galloprovincialis (Mediterranean mussel). Lineage: Eukaryota; Metazoa; Mollusca; Bivalvia; Mytilida; Mytilidae. The record is from RNAcentral.